GCAUUGGUGGUUCAGUGGUAGAAUUCUCGCCUGCCACGCGGGAGGCCGGGUUCGGAUCCCAGCCCAUGCA
Salmo salar (Atlantic salmon) is the source of this 70-nucleotide non-coding RNA. The record is from Rfam. Lineage: Eukaryota; Metazoa; Chordata; Actinopteri; Salmoniformes; Salmonidae.